Molecule: transfer RNA, 74 nt
Filed under: Lachnospiraceae bacterium
Lineage: Bacteria; Bacillati; Bacillota; Clostridia; Lachnospirales; Lachnospiraceae
Description: tRNA-Pro
Rfam family: tRNA
About the family: Transfer RNA (tRNA) molecules are approximately 80 nucleotides in length. Their secondary structure includes four short double-helical elements and three loops (D, anti-codon, and T loops).
Source: RNAcentral
CUGGCUGUGGCUCAGCUUGGUAGAGCGCUACAUUAGGGAUGUAGAGGUCGCAAGUUCAAAUCUUGUCAGCCAGA